This 277-nucleotide ribosomal RNA is filed under the name uncultured bacterium. Its description in RNAcentral is "partial 16S ribosomal RNA". It matches the Rfam family "Bacterial small subunit ribosomal RNA", at positions 28 to 334 of the family's 1533-position model. The record is from RNAcentral.
GAUGAACGCUGGCGGUCUGCUUAACACAUGCAAGUCGAACGGGAUCUUCGGAUCUAGUGGCGGACGGGUGAGUAACACGUGAGAAUCUGCCCUUAGGAGGGGGAUAACAGUUGGAAACGACUGCUAAUACCCCAUAUGCCGAGAGGUGAAAAGUAAUUCGCCUGAGGAUGAGCUCGCGUCUGAUUAGCUAGUUGGUAGUGUAAUGGACUACCAAGGCGACGAUCAGUAGCUGGUCUGAGAGGAUGAUCAGCCACACUGGGACUGAGACACGGCCCAG